RNAcentral lists this ribosomal RNA (485 nucleotides) under uncultured bacterium. RNAcentral describes it as "partial 16S ribosomal RNA". It matches the Rfam family "Bacterial small subunit ribosomal RNA", at positions 30 to 507 of the family's 1533-position model. The record is from RNAcentral.
AUUGAACGCUGGCGGCAGGCUUAACACAUGCAAGUCGAGCGGGGAGAUGUAGCUUGCUACAUAUCCUAGCGGCGGACGGGUGAGUAAUGCUUAGGAAUCUGCCUAUUAGUGGGGGACAACAUUCCGAAAGGAAUGCUAAUACCGCAUACGCCCUACGGGGGAAAGCAGGGGAUCUUCGGACCUUGCGCUAAUAGAUGAGCCUAAGUCGGAUUAGCUAGUUGGUGGGGUAAAGGCCUACCAAGGCGACGAUCUGUAGCGGGUCUGAGAGGAUGAUCCGCCACACUGGGACUGAGACACGGCCCAGACUCCUACGGGAGGCAGCAGUGGGGAAUAUUGGACAAUGGGCGCAAGCCUGAUCCAGCCAUGCCGCGUGUGUGAAGAAGGCCUUUUGGUUGUAAAGCACUUUAAGCAAGGAGGAGGCUCCUUUAGUUAAUACCUAAAGAGAGUGGACGUUACUCGCAGAAUAAGCACCGGCUAACUCUGUG